Molecule: unclassified non-coding RNA, 297 nt
Filed under: Glomeraceae sp.
Lineage: Eukaryota; Fungi; Glomeromycota; Glomeromycetes; Glomerales; Glomeraceae
Description: partial contains 5.8S ribosomal RNA and internal transcribed spacer 2
Rfam family: 5.8S ribosomal RNA (bases 1-71)
Source: RNAcentral
GUGAAUCAUCGAAUCUUUGAACGCAAAUUGCACUCCCUGGUAUUCCGGGGAGUAUGCCUGUUUGAGGGUCAGCCUAUAAAAAAUCGACAUCGUUGCUGUUUCGCGGUGGCGUUCGUCGGAAAUUGGGCCAUCUUAAAUCCUUUUGGUUUUUAAGCUACUUAAAAUUUUCUUUUUGGUUCCAUGAACGUUUCUCAGAUUUAUUUCUUUACACGUUUAAGGUAUCGAUUUUUAUUAGACGUGACCAUCAUAUCGGAUCGCGUCCAUCUUCUUUCUUUCACUGACCUCCGACCGGUAACA